Gallus gallus (chicken) is the source of this 2302-nucleotide long non-coding RNA. RefSeq lists it as uncharacterized. The transcript has 3 exons. NCBI's taxonomy places the organism in Eukaryota, Metazoa, Chordata, Aves, Galliformes, Phasianidae. The record is from RefSeq and is a predicted model, not a curated record.
UGUACUUUUAUUUGGCACUUUUUAUGGCAUUCAGAGACAUCACUGGGCAUGAAUAACCUCAUGUAUUUUCUGCUAAGGCAAAAGUUACUGCACGCACUGUAUUUUCCAACAGGAAUAAUAAAGACAGAACUCAAACUGGCUGCAUACUUGGAGAUGCACAACACAGAAAAGGGAGCGUCAGAUUGACCCAUGUACCCGGUUGUCUUCAUUCUGAUACGCCUGCACACACAUUUAACGCCGUAGUUUCAAGUGGCCAAAUGAAAUGCAGUGAAGUCUUUGUAUGAUGCUGCUUCUUUCCAUCAUGUUACAUCAUCAUGACUAUGGCAGUCUUUGAAGAUGCAAUACCCAAGCUCACUGCCCUCCUUGCCCAGGAGUGGUUUUGGUUUCAUCACGCAGUCGCAUGCAUUCUUGUGCACUCAUAGAUAUGUCAUUGUGUGUUCAAGUGGUAAGAGUCCACCCUACAGGAUGGAGAAGAGGCUUUCUGAUAAGACUGGAGUUCUGUAUGCCUUGUGCUUGAUCUGGAGGUUGUUGGCUAUGCUCAUUCUCACCUUUUGCUGCUCUUUAGUCACUGCAGAAGAUUAUCCAGACACAGGAGUGCAGCUCAGCAAUCUUCCUGCAACAGCAUAUUCACAAAGACUUGGCACAGCUGACAAAAAAUUUGGGAAAGAGUGUGGAUGAGACUAUCAACAUCCUUCAUCUUGUCCUAGGCAGCCUCCUCAAGGAUCCCCAUCAGCACCCAGGACAGUGGCCAGUUCUCUUUGAUGGGACGCUUUCAACAAAGGAGAUAAGAAGCAAAUGGGAAGAAAUUGUUGCAAGCACAGUUAUUAUUCCUGAUUUGAAGGUGAUAAAUUUGUUGUUUAAAAAAAAAAAAAGAAAAAGAAAAAGAAAAGAAUGCAGUAGCUGAGCAAUUCAAAAAGCCACUUCUUUGGAAAUCUGACCUGCUGUGAUACCUGUGCUGCCCUUUCCACUCAGCUAUUCCUGAAUCCGAGCUGUUUAUGGUACGGCUGUAGGAGCUCUGUGAAGUGACCAUCCUGAAGCUGAGGCACUUCAGAUCUGUGGAUGAAUUCAGACCCACAUGGAGGCAAUGGAUUUAUGCAGCCCCAACAACCCACAUGUAGAGAUGAUGACUUCCCUUCCUCUGCCUCUGCGAAAAUGCCUGUGAUGGAAACAGUUCUAUUAGCACAUGACUGCUCUGCUGACCACACAAGCAUCACUGUUAAGAGUAUGCAGCUAGUUGGAAGACACCCUGCAUGCUUCUGGCAUAUAUAACUCUUCUGCAUCUUACGCAGGCUGUUUUGGGAACACUGCUGAAAUAGUUGCUACUCUUGAGUGCUAAACACAAGCAGCCACUCUAAUGACCGUGCUAAGCUUUCUACACACACCGCUUGUCCCUAACAACUUGAUUCUGGGUUCCUUAGCCCAUGUAAUCCUCCGUGGCAUUUGUAGGUUGCUGUACACCAGGUACUAAUCUUACUCUUACUCUUUGAUUUCCAGCCUGAAGGAAUUUUUCAUUCCCUUCCUUGAUGCAAAAAGACCCCGAGUUGGCUACAGAGCUGCAGGUUGCAUGCCCAGGUGAGGCUCUCCUUUCUCAUGCUGUUGCUACCUGGAAAGCGGCUGCUGUCUUCAGGAGAGCACAGAGAGAGCUAGGACUGCUGGCAGCACAGUCUGCCCAUGACCACCACUGUGACCUUCCUCCGGGUGCACAGACACUGGUCGUGCCUCAAACAUGCAGUUCCAGUGAGAUCCUGGAUGGACAGGGACCGGUGAUUUCUUCCAGAUUCUCAUUACAACUGAUGAUUGUGCGUGGACCUCUGAGUGUGGUUUUACCUUAAUCUAACUGAGGGUCAGUGGAAAUCACAGUCCAUGUGAUUGCUGCACCACUACAGACAUUAGCAGCAAUGGAUCAUCAGCAGCAGUUUAAGACCACCCAGCUCUAAUGAAAUUACCCACAUUUUGCCUACUGAAUUUGGGUUGCAGAUACUAUGCAACUCGAGCACAAAUUAAUUUAAUUAUACUCAUGUUGCAUACACAUUUUACUUCCACCACUGUACAAUCCAUUGCUGGAAUGCAAACACAUGAAUACUGAUAUACUGCAAAGUUGCACAACUUUGGGUGCCGGGUGGUCUCCCACAAAGCCAACACACCCCAGGAUUUUUUGUGAAGCUUUUUUAUACAUAUUUUUAUCACAUGCCUACUGCUCUUAUACAGCCCCCUGCCUACAAUGGGUGAGUUAAAGACAGGGCUCAUCUCCCUACCUGCAGGCUAUGUGAGCCAUGCUAACCAACUACACGUUUUUUUUCAA